AAAUUGAAGAGUUUGAUCAUGGCUCAGAUUGAACGCUGGCGGCAGGCCUAACACAUGCAAGUCGAACGGUAACAGGAAACAGCUUGCUGUUUCGCUGACGAGUGGCGGACGGGUGAGUAAUGUCUGGGAAACUGCCUGAUGGAGGGGGAUAACUACUGGAAACGGUAGCUAAUACCGCAUAACGUCGCAAGACCAAAGAGGGGGACCUUCGGGCCUCUUACCAUCGGAUGUGCCCAGAUGGGAUUAGCUAGUAGGUGGGGUAACGGCUCACCUAGGCGACGAUCCCUAGCUGGUCUGAGAGGAUGACCAGCCACACUGGAACUGAGACACGGUCCAGACUCCUACGGGAGGCAGCAGUGGGGAAUAUUGCACAAUGGGCGCAAGCCUGAUGCAGCCAUGCCGCGUGUAUGAAGAAGGCCUUCGGGUUGUAAAGUACUUUCAGCGGGGAGGAAGGGAGUAAAGUUAAUACCUUUGCUCAUUGACGUUACCCGCAGAAGAAGCACCGGCUAACUCCGUGCCAGCAGCCGCGGUAAUACGGAGGGUGCAAGCGUUAAUCGGAAUUACUGGGCGUAAAGCGCACGCAGGCGGUUUGUUAAGUCAGAUGUGAAAUCCCCGGGCUCAACCUGGGAACUGCAUCUGAUACUGGCAAGCUUGAGUCUCGUAGAGGGGGGUAGAAUUCCAGGUGUAGCGGUGAAAUGCGUAGAGAUCUGGAGGAAUACCGGUGGCGAAGGCGGCCCCCUGGACGAAGACUGACGCUCAGGUGCGAAAGCGUGGGGAGCAAACAGGAUUAGAUACCCUGGUAGUCCACGCCGUAAACGAUGUCGACUUGGAGGUUGUGCCCUUGAGGCGUGGCUUCCGGAGCUAACGCGUUAAGUCGACCGCCUGGGGAGUACGGCCGCAAGGUUAAAACUCAAAUGAAUUGACGGGGGCCCGCACAAGCGGUGGAGCAUGUGGUUUAAUUCGAUGCAACGCGAAGAACCUUACCUGGUCUUGACAUCCACGGAAGUUUUCAGAGAUGAGAAUGUGCCUUCGGGAACCGUGAGACAGGUGCUGCAUGGCUGUCGUCAGCUCGUGUUGUGAAAUGUUGGGUUAAGUCCCGCAACGAGCGCAACCCUUAUCCUUUGUUGCCAGCGGUCCGGCCGGGAACUCAAAGGAGACUGCCAGUGAUAAACUGGAGGAAGGUGGGGAUGACGUCAAGUCAUCAUGGCCCUUACGACCAGGGCUACACACGUGCUACAAUGGCGCAUACAAAGAGAAGCGACCUCGCGAGAGCAAGCGGACCUCAUAAAGUGCGUCGUAGUCCGGAUUGGAGUCUGCAACUCGACUCCAUGAAGUCGGAAUCGCUAGUAAUCGUGGAUCAGAAUGCCACGGUGAAUACGUUCCCGGGCCUUGUACACACCGCCCGUCACACCAUGGGAGUGGGUUGCAAAAGAAGUAGGUAGCUUAACCUUCGGGAGGGCGCUUACCACUUUGUGAUUCAUGACUGGGGUGAAGUCGUAACAAGGUAACCGUAGGGGAACCUGCGGUUGGAUCACCUCCUUA
RNAcentral lists this ribosomal RNA (1542 nucleotides) under Escherichia coli. Its description in RNAcentral is "bacterial SSU rRNA". It matches the Rfam family "Bacterial small subunit ribosomal RNA". Lineage: Bacteria; Pseudomonadati; Pseudomonadota; Gammaproteobacteria; Enterobacterales; Enterobacteriaceae. The record is from RNAcentral.